Molecule: long non-coding RNA, 903 nt
Organism: Phacochoerus africanus (Common warthog)
Lineage: Eukaryota; Metazoa; Chordata; Mammalia; Artiodactyla; Suidae
Exons: 4
Source: RefSeq, a predicted model, not a curated record
GCUGGUGCCAAGGUGAAAAGUCCGCGGAUCAGAAACUGCAGCGGCUGAGGCCAGGCCCCCUGGGAAGUGUUGUUCCCAGAAGACUCUUCCCCAGUUAAGGACAACUGGUCUAGAGCCAGGCUCCCAGUCUCUGUAAGCCUCCAUUUCUUCCUGGAGACCCUCGUUCUGUGAGCAAGACUUCACCCGACAACCCAGAGAGAGAGUGGCUACUGCUCAUGUUGCAGAGCUUUUAGGAGUGCCCAGGAUGGAGGAGGAAGCAGAUAUUGUUCAUUCUGUCCAGGAUGCUCUCAGAUCUUUGGAUUUCAUGGGGCCCUUGCAUUAGGAGGAGCUCCUACCCACACCGUCAAGGUCAAUGCCCCAGCCCCCAAGAGAACCCAACCCAGACACAGUGUGAGCUCGUUCAAGCCUCACAACCACCCUGGAAAGGAGAUGCUAUCAUUGCUUCUGUUUCCUGAAGAAAAGCCAACUGAAGCACAGAGAAGUUAAGCCAUUUGCUCAAGGACACACAGGAAGUGGCAAAGCUGGGACUAAGUCCAGACAGUCUGGUUCCCAAGUCAGUGGGUUAAUGCCCUGCCCUGUUGCAUCAUUGCUGAGUGGUUCUGAUUUGGGUUUGAAGGCUGACCCAGGGCACAGGGGGAGGCCAGCCUUCUCCCACCGUGGUCUCUUGGCAACAGUCUAGCACGGGGGCAGCAGCGCUCCUUAACUUGUCAGCAGCCGUCCUCACCUGCCGAAUCAGGAACUCAGGCGGGGCCCAGGCUCUGCCCUACAGAUUCAGGCGCACACUCAAGUUUGAGGACCACUGGUGUAGACAGGUGGUGUAGACAUGACCUGACCUAAAGUUUAAAAGUUUCUGUCUGGGGAGUUCCCAUCAUGGCACAGUGGAAACAAAUCCAACUAGUAUCC